GGUGGCUCAGUGGUAGAGUACUUGCCUUGCAAGCAAGAGGCCCUGGUUCGAUUCCUCAGCACCA
This 64-nucleotide transfer RNA is filed under the name Dipodomys ordii (Ord's kangaroo rat). It matches the Rfam family "tRNA". Rfam says of the family: Transfer RNA (tRNA) molecules are approximately 80 nucleotides in length. Their secondary structure includes four short double-helical elements and three loops (D, anti-codon, and T loops). Further hydrogen bonds mediate the characteristic L-shaped molecular structure. tRNAs have two regions of fundamental functional importance: the anti-codon, which is responsible for specific mRNA codon recognition, and the 3' end, to which the tRNAs corresponding amino acid is attached (by aminoacyl-tRNA synthetases). tRNAs cope with the degeneracy of the genetic code in two manners: having more than one tRNA (with a specific anti-codon) for a particular amino acid; and 'wobble' base-pairing, i.e. permitting non-standard base-pairing at the 3rd anti-codon position. Lineage: Eukaryota; Metazoa; Chordata; Mammalia; Rodentia; Heteromyidae. The record is from Rfam by way of RNAcentral.